RNAcentral lists this ribosomal RNA (271 nucleotides) under uncultured prokaryote. Its description in RNAcentral is "partial 16S ribosomal RNA". It matches the Rfam family "Bacterial small subunit ribosomal RNA", at positions 338 to 623 of the family's 1533-position model. The record is from RNAcentral.
CCUACGGGUGGCAGCAAUUAGGGAUCUUGCGCAAUGGGCGAAAGCCUGACGCAGCGACGCCGCGUGACCGAUGAAGUCCUUCGGGAUGUAAAGGUCUUUUGGCAGGGAAGAAGGAAGUGACGGUACCUGCAGAAUAAGCCCCGGCUAACUACGUGCCAGCAGCCGCGGUAAUACGUAGGGGGCGAGCGUUGUCCGAAGUUACUGGGCGUAAAGCGCGCGUAGGCGGUUGUUUAAGUUAGAUGUGAAAUCCCGCGGCCCAACGGCGGAACUG